AUAGUACAGGGGGUUUGCAGAGGGGAAACGAGGAAAGGGGAUAACAUUAGAAAUAAAAUAAAUAAAAUAGCCAAUAAAAAAAAGAGAAAAGAAAGCAAGUGAUAUGCAAUAGAUUUUUUUUCUAAGUCCAAGAGUAGAUCUCACAUAGAAAGGGUAGACAAAUAAAUACUCUGUGUUUAUUUGUUGGCUUCUUGUAAGUGAGAAUUGCUGAGGACUAUGUUCUGGAGAGAUGACAUAUUUCUGCAUCUUGGACACAUGUAGCAGGGCUAUGUUUCAUGCUGAUAUCACUUAAGUGCAUGUCAUUUGGAAAGUAAUAUCUUUGCAGGAAAAUAAAAUUAAUUAUACCUUCUCUUUGCAAGGUUCAUCUUCAUCCCAGUUUGUUGUUCUUGGACUAGAAGAAUGGGUUGCACAAAGUGACUCCUAUCUAUUUUAGCAAAUUAACCUCUCAGCUCACAUCAGCUGACUUGAGGGAAACUGAACUGUUUAAUUUUUUUUUUUCAGAUAGACUCUAGCUCUCUUUUUAUCAAAGCAGAUGGCCAGGAUGAGUUGAUGGAUGUGGUGGCCCAAGUUCAGUUUGAUAGUGAGAUGAGCAUUUAUAGAUUCUAUGAUUGUGUGUGAGAAAAGGAAGUAUUAUAAUCUUUUAAAAAAUAUUUUCCAUUAUAGGAAGGCACAUUAAGGGCAGUGCUUUGUCCAGGUUCUAAUAACAAAAUAAACCUUACAUCCAUUGACAAGAUAACAGCAUAGAAUUGAAUGUUAAAACCGAGAUUCAGAGGUCAUUGUUGAUUGAAAUGGGAUGCAGGAACAAUGUUUCCUAAGACACUAGCUCCCAGCCUUGUCCAAGGGACACCAAACUCCUGACCACACAAACACUGAAGAGUCUUUAAAAACUCUUCUGUUAAAGUUGGUAAUUUAUCUCCACUAAUACUUUGUUAAAAGAAACGGUGUAGAGAUUAACAGAAUAAUUUUAUUUCAGAUUUUACUAAUGUAGUGUGUAGCUACAACUUGACAUUCAAGGGAAGAUUAGACUUCUGUUUUGAAAGUUUUCCAUCAGGUAAUUUCAGUGGUUUCAUUUUAGAAAUGUGUUUACUGUUUAUUUGCAGAUGUUUGACAAAGGGAAUAUUACUAAAAAAGAAAACAAAAAAAAUACUUAUCAAAUGAAGAAUUGUUAGAAAAAAUUACAUUCUUUGCUAAAGAAAGUUUGGUUAGUCUUAGAGGUAGGUAUUUGCUUUCUAGAACUUGUUUUUGUUGAUAGCUGUAUGCAUGGAACAUGUUUGUUAUGCAAGGUGUAAGUCUUUCAUUACACUUGUAAGAUACAUUAUAUUGUUUAGGGAUCAAGAAAGUAACAUAAUGCUGAAGUAAAUAUAGUAUGUAGUUCCUAUUGU
RNAcentral lists this long non-coding RNA (1382 nucleotides) under Mus musculus (house mouse). Its description in RNAcentral is "long non-coding RNA chr9:38747256-38748638". The record is from RNAcentral. Lineage: Eukaryota; Metazoa; Chordata; Mammalia; Rodentia; Muridae.